Molecule: long non-coding RNA, 807 nt
Organism: Humulus lupulus (European hop)
Lineage: Eukaryota; Viridiplantae; Streptophyta; Magnoliopsida; Rosales; Cannabaceae
Exons: 4
Source: RefSeq, a predicted model, not a curated record
UGUGUCUCGGUUUGGAGUUUGGACUCUCGGUUUUGAUUGUAAUAUCUCUGGCUAGUUUUUUCCCUUAUUCCUGCAUCAAUUCUUAAGUGCAAGAGACUUAGAGCCCUUGAUAAGGCAUCCUAAUGUUGUAACUUUGAAAGCUUACUACUGGUCUGUAGAUGAGAAGCAGCUCAUAUAUGAUUACAUUUCCAAUGGAAAUCUUUCCACUGCACUUCAUGGGAGGUCUGGAACAGAGUCAUUCACACCCUUAUCAUGGUCUGUUCGGCUAAAAAUCAUGAAAGGAAUUGCUAAAGGCCUCAAGGGUACUGAAAUUGGAGAGAAAUAGUCUGGAGUAUCUUCUACACCACUUUUGUGGAGUAACUGCUAAUAAAGAGUUGGUUAUAAUAACCCUACUCUCUAAUUUGUUCAUAAGGGAGUAAUAUUUUCCUGUACGUUUGUUGUUUCAGGUGCGAAUAACUGCUUCUUGGGCUUUGGCAAACAUAUGUGAUUCUAUCCGGCACUGUAUUGAUACUCUUGCUUUGGAAGGCUCCACAGGAGCCAGAGUCCUUGGGAUGCUUGUUAGAGUUGUCAUGGAAUGGACAGAAGUCACUGUCAUUGAAAGGGGCAACCCCUAAAUUCCUAGAAGAUGGUGAUAAAGUUAUCAUCACUGCUUUUUGCAAGGUUCUUUGAUUCACUAAGACCUCUCUUUUAUUUUUCUAUUUAAUGUGAUAAACACUCUCUAUUAGUACCAAGGCACUCAAAGUACUAAGUCAUUUGCUCUAGAAUGUUUAAUUUCUCUAUACUCAUUUUGAAAAGAUACAUAAUCUA